GACGAACGCUGGCGGCGUGCUUAACACAUGCAAGUCGAGCGGUAAGGCCCUUUCGGGGGUACACGAGCGGCGAACGGGUUGAGUAACACGUGGGUGACCUGCCCUCAGCUCUGGGAUAAGCCUGGGAAACCGGGUCUAAUACUGGAUAUGACUCCAUGACGCAUGUUGUGGGGUGGAAAGCCUUGUGCGGCUGAGGAUGGGCCCGCGGCCUAUCAGCUUGUUGGUGGGGUGANGGCCUACCAAGGCGACGACGGGUAGCCGGCCUGAGAGGGCGACCGGCCACACUGGGACUGAGACACGGGCCCAGACUCCUACGGGAGGCAGCAGUGGGGAAUCUUGCGCAAUGGGCGAAAGCCUGACGCAGCGACGCCGCGUGAGGGAUGACGGCCU
RNAcentral lists this ribosomal RNA (390 nucleotides) under uncultured bacterium. RNAcentral describes it as "bacterial SSU rRNA". It matches the Rfam family "Bacterial small subunit ribosomal RNA", at positions 28 to 417 of the family's 1533-position model. The record is from RNAcentral.